GAAAUGCGAUAAGUAAUGUGAAUUGCAGAAUUCAGUGAAUCAUCGAAUCUUUGAACGCACAUUGCGCCCGCCAGUAUUCUGGCGGGCAUGCCUGUUCGAGCGUCAUUUCAACCAUCAAGCCCCCGGGCUUGUGUUGGGGACCUGCGGCUGCCGCAGGCCCCGAAAACCAGUGGCGGGCUCGCUGUCACACCGGGCGUAGUAGAUUUUUCGUCUCGCCCAGGGCGUGCUGCGGGUUCCGGCCGUUAAAAAGCCUCUCUUUUAACCCAAGGUUGACCUCGGAUCAGGUAGGAAGACCCGCUGAACUUAAGC
RNAcentral lists this unclassified non-coding RNA (309 nucleotides) under plant metagenome. RNAcentral's name for it is "partial contains 5.8S ribosomal RNA, internal transcribed spacer 2, and large subunit ribosomal RNA". The stretch from base 1 to 105 matches the Rfam family "5.8S ribosomal RNA", at positions 50 to 154 of the family's 154-position model. The record is from RNAcentral.